RNAcentral lists this ribosomal RNA (498 nucleotides) under uncultured bacterium. RNAcentral describes it as "partial 16S ribosomal RNA". It matches the Rfam family "Bacterial small subunit ribosomal RNA", at positions 28 to 507 of the family's 1533-position model. The record is from RNAcentral.
GACGAACGCUGGCGGCGUGCCUAAUACAUGCCAGUCGAACGAGAGCGACCGGUGCUUGCACUGGUCAAUCUAGUGGCGAACGGGUGAGUAACACGUGGGUAACCUGCCCAUCAGAGGGGGAUAACAUCCGGAAACGGAUGCUAAAACCGCAUAGGUCUUCGAGCCGCAUGGCUUGAAGAGGAAAAGAGGCGCAAGCUUCUGCUGAUGGAUGGACCCGCGGUGCAUUAGCUAGUUGGUGAGGUAACGGCUCACCAAGGCCGUGAUGCAUAGCCGACCUGAGAGGGGGAUCGGCCACAUUGGGACUGAGACACGGCCCAAACUCCUACGGGAGGCAGCAGUAGGGAAUCUUCCGCAAUGGACGCAAGUCUGACGGAGCAACGCCGCGUGAGUGAAGAAGGUUUUCGGAUCGUAAAACUCUGUUGUUAGAGAAGAACAAGUGCUAGAGUAACUGUUAGCGCCUUGACGGUAUCUAACCAGAAAGCCACGGCUAACUACGUG